UACGGCCACGACGACGCCGGCGGCCGGGAGGCGCUCGACUCCGUCUUCGCCCACAUUGUCGGCGCCGAGGCCGCCAUCGUGCGCCCCCAGUUCUUCUCCGGCACUCACGCCAUCGCCUGCGCUCUGUUCGCGCUGCUGUGGCCUGGACACGAGCUCUUGGCGGUCGCCGGGCCUCCCUACGACACCCUGGAGGAGGUCAUUGGGAUCAGGGAUUCGGCCAAUGUAGGAUCGCUCAAGGACUUUGGGGUGACCUACCGAGAAGUUCCGCUCGCAGCAGAUGGUGGCCUUGACUGGGCGCGCUUGCUUGUGCCGUCAGACCGGAGACUGGGUGCGCGCUCAUACAGAGGUCCUGUGGUUACUCGUGGCGCAAGAGCCUCGGCGUAGAUGAUAUCCGUAGAGCCAUCAAUUUGAUCAAGCUGCAAAAUCCAAACUGCAAGGUCAUGGUGGACAACUGCUAUGGUGAAUUCGUCGAGACAUCAGAGCCUCCAAUGGUGGGAGCAGAUCUUAUUGCUGGCAGCUUGAUAAAGAACCCCGGUGGUACCAUUGCGCCGUGUGGUGGCUACGUUGCCGGGAAGAAAGAUUUGGUUGCUGCAGCUGCAGCUCGCCUAUCUGCACCGGGCCUUGGGGUGGAGUUUGGGUCCGCACCUGGACAUGUUAUGCGAGCGAUGUUUCAGGGCUUGUUUCUUGCUCCGCAAAUGGUUGGAGAGGCAGUAAAAGGGGGUUUGCUAAUUGCAGAGGUCAUGUCAGCCAAGGGCUAUAGAGUUCAACCACUUCCAAGGGCGCCACGCCAUAAUAUUGUGCAGGCAGUAGAGCUUGGCAACAGGGAGAGACUCAUAGCAUUCUGUGAAGUUGUCCAACAAACCUGCCCAGUAGGAUCAUUUAUUACGCCAACCGCUGGGGAAACUCCGGGUUAUGCUUCAGAGGUCAUUUUUGCUGAUGGGACAUUCAUGGAUGGAAGCACAAGCGAGCUAUCAUGUGACGGGCCCUUAAGAGAUCCAUAUGCUGUCUUCUGUCAGGGAGGAACGCAUUGGACACAGUGGGCUCUUGUCCUGGGUGAAGUUCUGAAGGUCAUACAGCUGUUUGUUACCAGAACCAUGACUCAUUUCUGGACUGGAAGGUCAUAGCGCCGUUUGUUACCAAAAGACGUUCCAUUUCUUGAAAGGGAGCAGGAACCAUCAUCCUCACCAAAUUAUUUUUGUCGAACCCGAUGAGUGAUUUAAAGCAACAGUUGUCAAGGCUGUGAAGGAUCCGGCGGGCUUCAUCCUGAUGCAUUGGAUAGGUUCUGCCAUUGACUUGGCAGUUGAUGAGGUUACCGCUUUAAACCAUAGCAGGUGGUAUAGAAAUGCUUUGGAAUCGAUGUACCAUGCACCGGUUGUGUACCAACGGAUCCACUUUGCGUAUGUUUUUAUAUAUACUUGAAAUUUUGAAACUCAAUAGUUGGGAUCAGUUUUGUACGCCA
Molecule: ribosomal RNA, 1459 nt
Filed under: Triticum aestivum (bread wheat)
Lineage: Eukaryota; Viridiplantae; Streptophyta; Magnoliopsida; Poales; Poaceae
Description: partial small subunit ribosomal RNA
Source: RNAcentral